Molecule: ribosomal RNA, 900 nt
Filed under: Bacillus sp. (in: firmicutes)
Lineage: Bacteria; Bacillati; Bacillota; Bacilli; Caryophanales; Bacillaceae
Description: bacterial SSU rRNA
Rfam family: Bacterial small subunit ribosomal RNA
Source: RNAcentral
UGCAAGUCGAGCGGACAGAUGGGAGCUUGCUCCCUGAUGUUAGCGGCGGACGGGUGAGUAACACGUGGGUAACCUGCCUGUAAGACUGGGAUAACUCCGGGAAACCGGGGCUAAUACCGGAUGCUUGAUUGAACCGCAUGGUUCAAUUAUAAAAGGUGGCUUUUAGCUACCACUUACAGAUGGACCCGCGGCGCAUUAGCUAGUUGGUGAGGUAACGGCUCACCAAGGCAACAAUGCGUAGCCAACCUGAGAGGGUGAUCGGCCACACUGGGACUGAAACACGGCCCAAACUCCUACGGGAGGCAGCAGUAGGGAAUCUUCCGCAAUGGACGAAAGUCUGACGGACCACCGCCGCGUGAGUGAUGAAGGUUUUCGGAUCGUAAAACUCUGUUGUUAGGGAAAAACAAGUACCGUUCGAAUAGGGCGGUACCUUGACGGUACCUAACCAGAAAGCCACGGCUAACUACUUGCCAGCAGCCGCGGUAAUACGUAGGUGGCAAGCUUUGUCCGGAAUUAUUGGGCGUAAAGCGCGCGCAGGCGGUUUCUUAAUUCUGAUGUGAAAGCCCCCGGCUCAACCGGGGAGGGUCAUUGGAAACUGGGGAACUUGAGUGCAAAAGAGGAGAGUGGAUUUCCACGUGUAGCGGUGAAAUGCGUAGAGAUGUGGAGGAACACCAGUGGCGAAGGCGACUCUCUGGUCUGUAACUGACGCUGAGGCGCGAAAGCGUGGGGAGCGAACAGGAUUAAAUACCCUGGUAGUCCACGCCGUAAACGAUGAGUGCUAAGUGUAGAGGGUUUCCGCCCUUUAGUGCUGCAGCAAACGCAUUAAGCACUCGCCUGGGGAGUACGGUCGCAAGACUGAAACUCAAAGGAAUUGACGGGGCCCCCCCAGCGGGGAGCAUG